This 497-nucleotide ribosomal RNA is filed under the name uncultured bacterium. Its description in RNAcentral is "partial 16S ribosomal RNA". It matches the Rfam family "Bacterial small subunit ribosomal RNA", at positions 28 to 507 of the family's 1533-position model. The record is from RNAcentral.
GAUGAACGCUGGCGGCGUGCCUAAUACAUGCAAGUCGAGCGAACAGACGAGGAGCUUGCUCCUCUGACGUUAGCGGCGGACGGGUGAGUAACACGUGGAUAACCUACCUAUAAGACUGGGAUAACUUCGGGAAACCGGAGCUAAUACCGGAUAAUAUAUUGAACCGCAUGGUUCAAUAGUGAAAGACGGUUUUGCUGUCACCUAUAGAUGGAUCCGCGCCGCAUUAGCUAGUCGGUAAGGUAACGGCUUACCAAGGCAACGAUGCGUAGCCGACCUGAGAGGGUGAUCGGCCACACUGGAACUGAGACACGGUCCAGACUCCUACGGGAGGCAGCAGUAGGGAAUCUUCCGCAAUGGGCGAAAGCCUGACGGAGCAACGCCGCGUGAGUGAUGAAGGUCUUCGGAUCGUAAAACUCUGUUAUUAGGGAAGAACAAAUGUGUAAGUAACUAUGCACGUCUUGACGGUACCUAAUCAGAAAGCCACGGCUAACUACGUG